Non-coding RNA from Caretta caretta (loggerhead turtle), 302 nucleotides. NCBI's taxonomy places the organism in Eukaryota, Metazoa, Chordata, Testudines, Cheloniidae. The record is from RefSeq and is a predicted model, not a curated record.
AGGAGCUGACUUCAGUUUGUGGUGCGCAUGUAAGGAGCCAGGAGAAGGAGGCGCUAGGAGCUGAGAGUGAGAACGCAUACUGUUGGAGGACUGAGGAGUACAAUCAUCAUCAGACACCAGGCGGAAGGUCCUAUGAACGCCACUGCUCUGCAGACGUCUAGCAUAUGAAGGGACACAUCCCUGUUAUUGGCGUACGGCUUGGGAAAGAAUACAGGACACUGCUCAACAGGGGGAUUGGAGGGAAGGCAUACAGGAGUGGGACCUCCCAUUUCGUUAGGAAGGCGUCUCCCAGAGAGUUCUGU